CAUCUGUAAUUUUCCAUGGAGUCUCUCGCUUUAAUUUCUCAGCAGUUGUCAUAUCUUUGCAGCUUUCAUGGAGGCGAUAUGGUUCAAUCAUCUCUUCAAAGAAUUUCCAGCUGAAACGGGAAUUACAAAGGAGGUCUUGCUGCAGGAUCUCCUGAGAUAUUGGCUCCUGCAAGAAUGCCAGUGGCAGCUGGGAAAAAUAUGGCAAACACCGAAAAAAAUCCUUCUCCACUUCUGAAAUCUGGUCCAAAGUUUUCUGCAAAUAUUGAUGCUGCAAAUAUAGUGAAAAUGAAAUAUAACAACAGGAUUUGAUUCCAAAAUUACUUAAUGAAGGAGCAACAGAGAUGCCGAGAAGACACACCACAGUGAUGGUCCCUAUGAUUCUGAUGUCGUUGGACUCAUCUACCAUCAGUGUAUCACUCUCCUGAAAGUGCGCUGCUUUCUCCAUUCGCCACUCUCUCGACGGAGCCGGUGCUCACAGCAAUGUUCUGAAGGAUCACACAGAAAACAAAUACAUUUUUUGGGCCAGGCAGAGGACACCUGGCUGCAUAAGGGAGACAUAAUAGAAAAGAAUUCUAAAGAUCGUGUUUUACAGUCACUGGAGUAGAGAACAAUGUUCUGCUCACACCAGGUAUCAGCAGAAUGGCUUAGUCUUCAUCUCUCCUGGGGCUAAAGAUCAUGAGCUCAUCAAAUCUCCAUAACAAGUGUGGAGAGUAGCCAA
Long non-coding RNA from Serinus canaria (Common canary), 718 nucleotides. RefSeq lists it as uncharacterized. The transcript is spliced from 5 exons. Lineage: Eukaryota; Metazoa; Chordata; Aves; Passeriformes; Fringillidae. The record is from RefSeq and is a predicted model, not a curated record.